AUUGAACGCUGGCGGCAGGCCUAACACAUGCAAGUCGAGCGGAUGAAGGGAGCUUGCUCCUGGAUUCAGCGGCGGGCGGGUGAGUAAUGCCUAGGAAUCUGCCUGGUAGUGGGGGAUAACGUCCGGAAACGGGCGCUAAUACCGCAUACGUCCUGAGGGGGAAAGUGGGGGAUCUUCGGACCUCACGCUAUCAGAUGAGCCUAGGUCGGAUUAGCUAGUUGGUGGGGUAAAGGCCUACCAAGGCGACGAUCCGUAACUGGUCUGAGAGGAUGAUCAGUCACACUGGAACUGAGACACGGUCCAGACUCCUACGGGAGGCAGCAGUGGGGAAUAUUGGACAAUGGGCGAAAGCCUGAUCCAGCCAUGCCGCGUGUGUGAAGAAGGUCUUCGGAUUGUAAAGCACUUUAAGUUGGGAGGAAGGGCAGUAAGUUAAUACCUUGCUGUUUUGACGUUACCAACAGAAUAAGCACCGGCUAACUUCGUG
RNAcentral lists this ribosomal RNA (484 nucleotides) under uncultured bacterium. RNAcentral describes it as "partial 16S ribosomal RNA". It matches the Rfam family "Bacterial small subunit ribosomal RNA", at positions 30 to 507 of the family's 1533-position model. The record is from RNAcentral.